CCAGCUGGAGGGGAUACUCGGGAGGAAGAACGGCAGGCCCCAGCCCUUCUUUCCCGACAGCCACGCCGCCCACUUGGCGGCGGGGAGUCGCUCCGCAGCCGGCCCGGAGCUCGCCCGUGCAACUGAAAACUGCGUCCGUCGGGAGCUAGGGUGCCUGGCGUCCCGCGUUCCGCCCUCUUGCGCCGCCCUUACAGUGCCUCCUCCUCGAGGCCAAAUGCCCGGCCGCUCAGCGCUCGUGGCAGCCGCGUAGUUGCAGAGACACGGUCUGCUUUCCAGGCUUGGGAAGUCCCAGCACUUAACUCUGCGCGUCGGUGUCGCUCGUUUGCCAGCCAGACUAUAAAGUGCACCCAACGGUGUAUGCGUCUCUUUACUUCCGGGUGUAACGUACUACCCAGCCAGGCCCUUUCCCUUGCUGUGCUUUGGAACCUGGAAAUUACAAACCCUAAUAAAUUCUGAAGUCUGUC
This 464-nucleotide long non-coding RNA is filed under the name Homo sapiens (human). Its description in RNAcentral is "non-protein coding lnc-CDK8-2:1". Lineage: Eukaryota; Metazoa; Chordata; Mammalia; Primates; Hominidae. The record is from RNAcentral.